This 1433-nucleotide ribosomal RNA is filed under the name uncultured organism. RNAcentral describes it as "SSU rRNA". It matches the Rfam family "Bacterial small subunit ribosomal RNA". The record is from RNAcentral.
GGCUUAACACAUGCAAGUCGAGGGGCAGCAUGGUCUUAGCUUGCUAAGGCCGAUGGCGACCGGCGCACGGGUGAGUAACACGUAUCCAACCUGCCGUCUACUCUUGGACAGCCUUCUGAAAGGAAGAUUAAUACAAGAUGGCAUCAUGAGUCCGCAUGUUCACAUGAUUAAAGGUAUUCCGGUAGACGAUGGGGAUGCGUUCCAUUAGAUAGUAGGCGGGGUAACGGCCCACCUAGUCUUCGAUGGAUAGGGGUUCUGAGAGGAAGGUCCCCCACAUUGGAACUGAGACACGGUCCAAACUCCUACGGGAGGCAGCAGUGAGGAAUAUUGGUCAAUGGGCGAGAGCCUGAACCAGCCAAGUAGCGUGAAGGAUGACUGCCCUAUGGGUUGUAAACUUCUUUUAUAAAGGAAUAAAGUCGGGUAUGGAUACCCGUUUGCAUGUACUUUAUGAAUAAGGAUCGGCUAACUCCGUGCCAGCAGCCGCGGUAAUACGGAGGAUCCGAGCGUUAUCCGGAUUUAUUGGGUUUAAAGGGAGCGUAGAUGGAUGUUUAAGUCAGUUGUGAAAGUUUGCGGCUCAACCGUAAAAUUGCAGUUGAUACUGGAUAUCUUGAGUGCAGUUGAGGCAGGCGGAAUUCGUGGUGUAGCGGUGAAAUGCUUAGAUAUCACGAAGAACUCCGAUUGCGAAGGCAGCCUGCUAAGCUGCAACUGACAUUGAGGCUCGAAAGUGUGGGUAUCAAACAGGAUUAGAUACCCUGGUAGUCCACACGGUAAACGAUGAAUACUCGCUGUUUGCGAUAUACAGCAAGCGGCCAAGCGAAAGCGUUAAGUAUUCCACCUGGGGAGUACGCCGGCAACGGUGAAACUCAAAGGAAUUGACGGGGGCCCGCACAAGCGGAGGAACAUGUGGUUUAAUUCGAUGAUACGCGAGGAACCUUACCCGGGCUUAAAUUGCAGAUGAAUUACGGUGAAAGCCGUAAGCCGCAAGGCAUCUGUGAAGGUGCUGCAUGGUUGUCGUCAGCUCGUGCCGUGAGGUGUCGGCUUAAGUGCCAUAACGAGCGCAACCCUUGUUGUCAGUUACUAACAGGUUCCGCUGAGGACUCUGACAAGACUGCCAUCGUAAGAUGUGAGGAAGGUGGGGAUGACGUCAAAUCAGCACGGCCCUUACGUCCGGGGCUACACACGUGUUACAAUGGGGGGUACAGAGGGCCGCUACCACGCGAGUGGAUGCCAAUCCCCAAAACCUCUCUCAGUUCGGACUGGAGUCUGCAACCCGACUCCACGAAGCUGGAUUCGCUAGUAAUCGCGCAUCAGCCACGGCGCGGUGAAUACGUUCCCGGGCCUUGUACACACCGCCCGUCAAGCCAUGGGAGCCGGGGGUACCUGAAGUGCGUAACCGCGAGGAGCGCCCUAGGGUAAAACUGGUGACUGGGGCU